UCCAACAACUUGACCCAUAGGAGUUGCCUCUUUUGGGGUUGGAACUUGGUAACGAAACAGGAUGAAGACAAGACCAAAAUCCUAUUCUACCCCAGGACUCUCCACAGAAAGUGCACACAUUCUGCUGUUAAGUAACACAGGGCAAUAUAGGGGAACCAAAUAAGUAACACAAGACAGACAUUUUGAUAAGGCUUCUUCCCUCAUUCUUGACCCACUGAGAA
This is a long non-coding RNA of Talpa occidentalis (Iberian mole), 221 nucleotides long. RefSeq lists it as uncharacterized. NCBI's taxonomy places the organism in Eukaryota, Metazoa, Chordata, Mammalia, Eulipotyphla, Talpidae. The transcript is spliced from 3 exons. The record is from RefSeq and is a predicted model, not a curated record.